UACGGGGGGGGCAAGCGUUGUUCGGAAUUACUGGGCGUAAAGGGCUCGUAGGUGGCCAACUAAGUCAUACGUGAAAUCCCUCGGCUCAACCGGGGAACUGCGUCCGAUACUGGUGGGCUCGAAUCCGGGAGGGGAUGGUGGAAUUCCCAGUGUAGCGGUGAAAUGCGUAGAUAUUGGGAAGAACACCGGUGGCGAAGGCGACCAUCUGGACCGGAACUGACGCUGAGGCGCGAAAGCCAGGGGAGCGAAUGGG
This 253-nucleotide ribosomal RNA is filed under the name uncultured bacterium. Its description in RNAcentral is "partial 16S ribosomal RNA". It matches the Rfam family "Bacterial small subunit ribosomal RNA", at positions 524 to 776 of the family's 1533-position model. The record is from RNAcentral.